Molecule: transfer RNA, 84 nt
Filed under: Enterococcus faecium
Lineage: Bacteria; Bacillati; Bacillota; Bacilli; Lactobacillales; Enterococcaceae
Description: tRNA-Leu
Rfam family: tRNA
About the family: Transfer RNA (tRNA) molecules are approximately 80 nucleotides in length.
Source: RNAcentral
GCGAGAGUGGCGGAACUGGCAGACGCACUAGAUUUAAGGAUCUAGCGUUUUCAGAACGUGUGGGUUUAAGUCCCACCUCUUGUA